GCCUAUUGGCUACAGAUCACGGAGCGGGGCGGGGCUGCGCGUGCGCACAGCCCCGGCGUGCCCUUGACGGCGGUUGAAAGAUGGCGACUGUCACCGAGCUGAAGGCCGUUUUAAAGGACACCUUGGAAAAAAGAGGCGUGUUAGGGCAUUUAAGAGCGAGGAUUCGAGCUGAGGUUUUCAGCGCCCUCGAUGAUGAAAGCGAACCUCCGCCACCGCUGUCUCAUGAGAACCUUCUGAUUAAUGAAUUAAUUCGGGAGUAUUUGGAAUUCAAUAAAUAUAAGUAUACAGCAUCUGUCCUCAUGGCAGAAUCUGGUCAACCUGUAGUUCCUUUGGACAGACAAUUUCUUAUCCGUGAACUGAAUGCGUUUGAAGAAUCAAAGGAUGAUUCAAUACCUCUUUUAUACAGGAUUUUAGCUCAUUUGUUGCAUGGAACUAAGGAGGACGUCCCAAAUACAUUUCUAAAAGGGUCUUCACUUCAGCCUUCAGACCCAGAGCUUGGCAGACAACCUAGUGGAAGGAAGAAAAUGGGGGAGAAAACCGCCACUAAGUUUUGGUGACUCAUCGAAAGCCUGCAGCUGACCAUUUUUAGCAGAAUCAGCACCUUCGAUCGCCAUUCCUCUACACUUCCUCCAUAGCUUACAAACUAUUGAGAAGUUUCCCUAGUUCUCUUUCCAGGGAUUGACGGCCUCGGAAGAAAGGGGAAGGGGACAAGCGCUGACAUCGAAGAGCCUCCUGUGUCUCCAGCCGUGAAGCGAUGACGUUUCCAUUGGGGCAUCUUUUAUCUUAAAAUUACCGUUUUGGCUCUUCUCCUGGAAGAUUUAAUUAAAACGUAGAGAGGGAAAUAAUUCUUUUAAUUUUACUGUAAGUAAAACAAAGAGUUUAUUUUAUCGUGAAGAAUGUGGGAUAAGCAUGAAGAGACAGGCUUUAGGCGAAAUACCAGAAAGCACCUUUUCAAAGAUGGCAUUGUCUAAGCCUCACGUGGCCGCCCAUCGGGCACUUACAGCACGAGCUGCACAGGGCCCACCCCUGCUUAUUUGGGCUCCGAAAGUCUUAUUAAACGUCCAUUUUUAUUCUUCGGAUAGAACAAUAUUAAGUGCUCUCUCUCUCAAAUGCUGCUUUGAUAUUUAUUAAGACAUUUUUAUAAUGUGGAGUCUACAGGCUGAUGUCACUGAAGACCACUGACUGUCACAGAAGACGGCGCCCGAUGGCCGGAAGUCACAGGGUAGACUGAGAACGAAGCUUGGGCCCCCCGAGCACCACAGCAUUCAGCCUAAAUGUUUCCACGGGCACGUGGGCAGGGCUGUAGUUGUAAAAUGAGCAUUCUCGUCAGGGUGUUGCCUUUGGAAAUGAGUGAAACUCCUGACUGUAUGUUUGUGCUAGUCAGUGUUCAGUCUUUAAAGAUUAACCAAGGAUUUUUAUCUGAAUGCAGAACAUUAUUAAAUAAGUCCCCUUAAACCAUACUUUACAAGUCAGAGGAUUUUGAGAGGCCCUGUUGGGGGGCGUAAAUGACAUGGUAGCCGUAGAAGCAUUAUAAGGGCUCAUUUGCAUCUUUUAGUGAAGUCUGCAGUAGCUGACUGCACUUCUGAAUUUCACUGUAUGGCACGUGGGAACCUGAAGAUCUGAAUUCUCAGAGAUCUCGGCUUGCGUGCAAGGAUGUCGGCAGUGGGCACUGUGUUUCCCUCAGGAACUGCAAUCCUGCAGGACUUGAUUAAGAAAAGGUGCUGGAGUUUGUCAUUUUGGACACUGACAUAGAAUCCUCAAAAUAGGAGCUAAACAGAAUUGUCCCCUGUAGUCCAUAGUGCUUUUGCAUGCGUUAUGCUGUACCUUGUUCGUACCCGGGCAACUUUUAUACCUUCAAUGUAUCAUUUAAUAAAAAAGCAUUUAGGCAACUCA
This is an RNA transcript of Equus caballus (horse), 1893 nucleotides long. It is a transcript of the gene named centrosomal protein 20, with no coding region annotated. Lineage: Eukaryota; Metazoa; Chordata; Mammalia; Perissodactyla; Equidae. The record is from RefSeq and is a predicted model, not a curated record.